This 490-nucleotide ribosomal RNA is filed under the name uncultured bacterium. RNAcentral describes it as "partial 16S ribosomal RNA". It matches the Rfam family "Bacterial small subunit ribosomal RNA", at positions 29 to 507 of the family's 1533-position model. The record is from RNAcentral.
GUGAACGCUGGCGGUAGGCCUAACACAUGCAAGUCGAACGGCAGCACAGUAAGAGCUUGCUCUUACGGGUGGCGAGUGGCGGACGGGUGAGGAAUACAUCGGAUCCUCCUUUUCGUUGGGGGUAAAGGAGGGGAAACUUAGCCUAUACCCCAUAACAACCUACGGGUAAAAGCGGGGAUCUUUCGAACCUGCCCGGUUUAAAGAGGCGAUGUCGGAUUAGCUAGUUUGCGGGGUAAAGGCCCACCAAGGCGACGAUCCGUAGCUGGUCUGAGAGGAUGAUCAGCCACACUGGAACUGAGACACGGUCCAGACUCCUACGGGAGGCAGCAGUGGGGAAUAUUGGACAAUGGGCGCAAGCCUGAUCCAGCCAUACCGCGUGGGUGAAGAAGGCCUUCGGGUUGUAAAGCCCUUUUGUUGGGAAAGAAAAGCAGCAGGUUAAUACCCCGCUGUUCUGACGGUACCCAAAGAAUAAGCACCGGCUAACUUCGUG